GGGCGUGUGGCUCAGUUGGUAGAGCGUUCGCUUAGCAUAUUUCACGAUUCCUGAUCGAAAGAUUGGGGGUUGAAAACGGAUAUGCGAAAGGUCCUGGGUUCGAUUCCCAGCUCGUCCA
Non-coding RNA from Cercophora samala, 118 nucleotides. The record is from the annotation of a GenBank genome assembly. NCBI's taxonomy places the organism in Eukaryota, Fungi, Ascomycota, Sordariomycetes, Sordariales, Lasiosphaeriaceae.